Molecule: long non-coding RNA, 451 nt
Organism: Labeo rohita (rohu)
Lineage: Eukaryota; Metazoa; Chordata; Actinopteri; Cypriniformes; Cyprinidae
Exons: 3
Source: RefSeq, a predicted model, not a curated record
UGGCCAAUGACAGCCUCGCGCGCCUUUUUGCUAGUGCAGUUUGAAAAUAUACUAAUCAGUUUGGGGAUGUGCGCGCUACUGAUCCGCAAGAUUACGAGCUCAGUUCCUGAUUCUGUGCCUGUUAAAUUCUUAUGGUACACUAAUUUGAACUGUGAGAUGUCAGUGGACAACAGAAGCUGGAAUGUGAACACAGAGGAAGGGGCAGACUGGAUGUGUGAGAUCCCGAAAACAUAUGGCGAUAUCAGGUGGCACAAAUAAAGGGAAAUAGACUCGUCACCAUCUUCAGUCCUUUAUUUCAUUCACUGGAGAACCUUCAGAUGUGUCAUAUCAGGAUAAAUGCAACUGCAGGACUCGUCGGGCCCACCCAACUACAGAUUCACCCAGGAUCCAGCUGAUCACUGCCAAUUUGAAGGAGGAUUGUCCUUUAUCUGCUACAUUGCACUCACUUCUG